This 330-nucleotide ribosomal RNA is filed under the name uncultured eukaryote. Its description in RNAcentral is "partial 18S ribosomal RNA". It matches the Rfam family "Eukaryotic small subunit ribosomal RNA", at positions 1470 to 1796 of the family's 1831-position model. The record is from RNAcentral.
CCCUUAGAUGUUCGGGGCCGCACGCGCGCUACACUGAAGGAAUCAGCGCGUCUUUCUCCUUGUCCGAAAGGACUGGGUAACCCGCUGAACCUCCUUCGUACUAGGGAUUGGGGCUUGUAAUUCUUCCCCAUGAACGAGGAAUUCCCAGUAAGCGCGAGUCAUAAGCUCGCGUUGAUUACGUCCCUGCCCUUUGUACACACCGCCCGUCGCUACUACCGAUUGGAUGGUUUAGUGAGAUCCUCGGAUUGGUCCCGGCGCGGCCUCUGGUCGUGCCGGAGUGCCGAAAAGAAUGUCGAACUUGAUCAUCUAGAGGAAGUAAAAGUCGUAACA